RNAcentral lists this long non-coding RNA (1077 nucleotides) under Strigops habroptila (Kakapo). Its description in RNAcentral is "lncRNA (ENSSHBG00005004205.1)". The record is from RNAcentral. Lineage: Eukaryota; Metazoa; Chordata; Aves; Psittaciformes; Psittacidae.
CUCUUCUACCUCACCUCUUGGGCUUUCUUUUUAUAUCAGAAGCCUGAAGUUCAAUUCCUGUUAGAUGAGAUCUGGAAGAAGGUCAGAGAACAGGACUUUUCUAAGUGCAACUUUACUUGCAGGCCAAAGAGAAGUGACUUCAGUUAUUUAGGCAUAAUUUAUGUACCUCUAGUCAUAGACUGCAAUGAAAAUUAGAACACAGAUGGACCCUGUGGGAAGCCUGCAGCCUGUCUACCUCCUGGGUCAUCCUCUUGGCUGUUCACUGCCAGGGAUGCAGCCAUUCCCUGUUCCCACAGGCUCCCAGCCUUGGCUUCCAUGCAGCACUACUGGAGCUGAGGUCUGGAUCCCACCUCUCACUACCUGCCACCUUCGGUACCUUCCACUUCAGGUAGUGGAGCAACCUGCUCUAGUGGAAGGUGUCCCUGCCCAUGGCAGGGGGUUGGAACUAGAUGAGCUUUAAGGUCCCUUCCAACCCAACUAUAAAGUAACAUCAUAUCAGGACACCAACAAUGGAAGGAACCUCUGUAGAUAAUGGACCUGAGUCUUGAAGGAAUGAGCCAUCCCUGUUGUUACAGAAACUGUGAUGUAUCAGAGAGAACACGAUACACUCAACAGCGGUUUAAUGUCUGUUGGUUAUCACAGUAUGAGAUUUUUACUAGGAACUGACUCCACUGCAGAAGCAACAAGUAACUUUCAUCACUCUAAACGGGACAAUUGGGAAGUGGUACUGAUUCGAUACAAACAUACACAGUUUGUCAAAAUGGCAGCUCAUGGAAAAGCAGCUACUAUGAGGAGAAAACCCACUGGCCAUAAGGAAGCUGUGGAUGCUGGUCAGUCUGUACAUCAGAGAGCAAACCCCACGCUGACCGCGCUCACCUGUGAGCUCUGGGAACAGGAACUAGCGAGAAGAGGGAAUAAAUUCCUGAAUCACCUCCCUGAGAUGGUAUUUCCAGCUCCCUCAAUGGCCGUUUUACUGAAGAACUGGAUGGAAGAACCCAAAAUAUACUGCAGGCACCAUAUGUGUGCAAGGAGGGUCUUCCAAAGAAGUGUCCUUAUUUCCUCAGACUCUGCAAUUGU